AUAGCCGCAGUUUAUGUGCUAAGGUAGCAUAAUCACUUGUUUUUUAAUUAAAAACUAGAAUGAAUGGGAAAACAAUUCAAUUUCUUUAUUAUAUUAAAUUAAUUAAAUUUAUAUUUAUCAUCAAAAUAUGGUAAUAAAAAAAAAAGACGACAAGACCCUAUKGAACUUAACUUCAGUUAAKUUGGGGCAACUUAUUAAAAAAUAUUUUAAUUAAUUUUUUUUUUUAAAAYCAUCAAUUAUAAWUUAAUUAUUAAUUAAGUUACCAWAGGGAUAACRGCGUAAWAUCUUUCUAARGUUCAUAUUWAAAAAGAAAUUUGCRACCUCRAUGUURAAUUAUUUUAYCUAUAACGUGCAGGAAUGUUAUAAGUAAKUCKGUUCGACUUUAAAAAAUUUA
Molecule: ribosomal RNA, 394 nt
Filed under: Paidiscura pallens
Lineage: Eukaryota; Metazoa; Arthropoda; Arachnida; Araneae; Theridiidae
Description: partial 16S ribosomal RNA
Source: RNAcentral